GACGGAGGAUGCAAGCGUUAUCCGGAAUGAUUGGGCGUAAAGCGUUCGCAGGUGGCUAUUCAAGUCUGCUGUCAAAGACCGGGGCUUAACCCCAGAGAGGCAGUGGAAACUGAAUAGCUGGAGUGCGGUAGGGGCAGAGGGAAUUCCCGGUGGAGCGGUGAAAUGCGUAGAUAUCGGGAAGAACACCGAGGGCGAAGGCGCUCUGCUGGGCCGAAACUGACACUGAGAGACGAGAGCUAGGGGAGCAAAUGGG
Molecule: ribosomal RNA, 253 nt
Filed under: uncultured bacterium
Lineage: Bacteria
Description: partial 16S ribosomal RNA
Rfam family: Bacterial small subunit ribosomal RNA
Source: RNAcentral